GCCGGCGACCGGCGCACGGGUGAGUAACGCGUAUGCAACUUGCCUAUCAGAGGGGGAUAACCCGGCGAAAGUCGGACUAAUACCGCAUGAAGCAGGGAUCCCGCAUGGGGAUAUUUGCUAAAGAUUCAUCGCUGAUAGAUAGGCAUGCGUUCCAUUAGGCAGUUGGCGGGGUAACGGCCCACCAAACCGACGAUGGAUAGGGGUUCUGAGAGGAAGGUCCCCCACAUUGGUACUGAGACACGGACCAAACUCCUACGGGAGGCAGCAGUGAGGAAUAUUGGUCAAUGGCCGAGAGGCUGAACCAGCCAAGUCGCGUGAGGGAUGAAGGUUCUAUGGAUCGUAAACCUCUUUUAUAAGGGAAUAAAGUGCGGGACGUGUCCCGUUUUGUAUGUACCUUAUGAAUAAGGAUCGGCUAACUCCGUGCCAGCAGCCGCGGUAAUACGGAGGAUCCGAGCGUUAUCCGGAUUUAUUGGGUUUAAAGGGUGCGUAGGCGGCCUUUUAAGUCAGCGGUGAAAGUCUGUGGCUCAACCAUAGAAUUGCCGUUGAAACUGGGGGGCUUGAGUAUGUUUGAGGCAGGCGGAAUGCGUGGUGUAGCGGUGAAAUGCAUAGAUAUCACGCAGAACCCCGAUUGCGAAGGCAGCCUGCCAAGCCAUUACUGACGCUGAUGCA
Molecule: ribosomal RNA, 669 nt
Filed under: uncultured Bacteroidales bacterium
Lineage: Bacteria; Pseudomonadati; Bacteroidota; Bacteroidia; Bacteroidales
Description: bacterial SSU rRNA
Rfam family: Bacterial small subunit ribosomal RNA
Source: RNAcentral